Molecule: transfer RNA, 73 nt
Filed under: Stegodyphus mimosarum
Lineage: Eukaryota; Metazoa; Arthropoda; Arachnida; Araneae; Eresidae
Rfam family: tRNA
About the family: Transfer RNA (tRNA) molecules are approximately 80 nucleotides in length. Their secondary structure includes four short double-helical elements and three loops (D, anti-codon, and T loops).
Source: Rfam by way of RNAcentral
GCCUUCGUGGUAAAAUGGUCAGCACACUGAGCCAGUAUUUCAGAGGUCCGUGGUUCGAUUCCCGGCGAAGGAA